RNAcentral lists this long non-coding RNA (1313 nucleotides) under Zonotrichia albicollis (white-throated sparrow). RNAcentral's name for it is "lncRNA (ENSZALG00000001800.1)". The record is from RNAcentral. Lineage: Eukaryota; Metazoa; Chordata; Aves; Passeriformes; Passerellidae.
GUGUUGGGAUCUGAGUGUUCCUUUGGGAUCGGGUGUUCUUUUUGAGAUCUGGAUUUGGUUGUUGGGGUUUGGGUGUUGUUUGUUGGGAUUUGGGUGCACACCGUGUUCACCAAGAAGGACGACAAGAAGGACAAGCGGAAGAGCCUGGAGCCCUGGAAGCUCUACGCCACCGUGGGCGGCCUGGUGGCCUUCGACGUGGUCACGCUGAGCGUGUGGCAGAUCGUGGANUGGGUGUGGUUUGUUGGGAUUUGGGUGUUCCCUUGGGAUCCGAGUGUUGUUUGUUAAGAUUUGGGUGUUUGGGGUCCGAGUGUUGUUUUUGGGAUCCGGGUUGGGUUGAGGUUGUUGGGAUUUGGGUGUUUCUUUGGGGUUCCGGUUGUUGGGAUCCGGGUGUGGUUUGUUGGGAUCCGGGUGUUCCUCUGGGAUUUUGGUGUUGGGAUUUGGGUGUUCCUUCAGGAUCUGGGUGUUCCUUUGGGGUCCAGGUGUUGUUUUGGGAUCCGGGUGUGGUUUGUUGGGAUUUGGGUGCUCCCUUGGGGUCCGAGUGUUGUUUUUGGGAUCCGGGUGUUCUGUUUGGGUUGAGGUUGUUGGGAUUUGGGUGUUGUUAAUCCGGGUGUUCCAUUGGGGUUGAGGUUGUUGGGAUCCGGGUGUUCCUUUGGGGUCCAGGUGUUCUUUUUGGGAUCUGGGUGUUGUUUUUUGGGAUUUGGGUGUUGGGAUUUGGGUGUUCCAUUGGGGUUGAGGUUGUUGGGAUCCGGGUGUUCCUUUGGGGUCCAGGUGUUGUUUUGGGAUCCGAUUGCAGAUUUUUGGGAUUUGGGUGUUGUUUGUUGGGGUUUGGGUGUUGGGAUCCGGUUGUUCCAUUGGGGUUGAGGUUGUUGGAUCUGAGUGUUCCUUUGGGAUCUGGGUGUGGUUUUUUGGGGUUUUGUUGUUGGGAUCCGGGUGUUCUUUUUGGGUUGAGGUUGUUGGGAUUUGGGUGUUGGGCUCUGGGUGUUCCUUUGGGAUCCGGGUGUUGUUUUUUGGGAUUUGGGUGUUGGGAUCUGAGUGUUGCUUUGGGAUCGGGUGUUCUUUUUGAGAUCUGGGUGUUGGGGUUUGGGUGUUGUUUGUUGGGAUGUGGGCGCACACCGUGUUCACCAAGAAGGACAAGCGGAAGGCGAGGACGGAACAGGCGGACGGGGGAUGGGGGUUCCUUUGGGAUCCGGGUGUUCUUUUUGGGAUCCGGGUGUGAUUUUUUGGGAUUUGGGUGUUGGGAUUUGGGUGUUGUUUGUUGGGAUUUGGGUGCACACCGUGUUCACCAAGAAGGACGACAAGAAGGACAAGCGGAA